Molecule: ribosomal RNA, 477 nt
Filed under: uncultured bacterium
Lineage: Bacteria
Description: partial 16S ribosomal RNA
Rfam family: Bacterial small subunit ribosomal RNA
Source: RNAcentral
ACCCUGAUCCAGCCAUGCCGCGUGUGUGAAGAAGGCUUUCGGGUUGUAAAGCACUUUCAGUGGGGAGGAAGGCUCNNNGGUUAAUACCCUUUGGGAUUGACGUUACUCACAGAAGAAGCACCGGCUAACUCCGUGCCAGCAGCCGCGGUAAUACGGAGGGUGCGAGCGUUAAUCGGAAUUACUGGGCGUAAAGCGCGCGUAGGUGGUUUGAUAAGCGAGAUGUGAAAGCCCCGGGCUUAACCUGGGAACGGCAUUUCGAACUGUCAGGCUAGAGUGUGGUAGAGGGGUGUGGAAUUUCCUGUGUAGCGGUGAAAUGCGUAGAUAUAGGAAGGAACACCAGUGGCGAAGGCGGCACCCUGGNCCAACACUGACACUGAGGUGCGAAAGCGUGGGGAGCAAACAGGAUUAGAUACCCUNGUAGUCCACGCCGUAAACGAUGUCUACUAGCCNNNGGGACUCUUGAAGUCUUNNNGGCGC